GAUGAACGCUAGCGGCAGGCCUAAUACAUGCAAGCUGAACGGCAAGAUUGGUAGCAAUACUGAUCCUAGAGUAGCGUAAGGGUGCGUAACACGUAUGCAAUCUACCCGCAACAGGAGGAUAGCUCUCCGAAAGGGGAAUUAAGACUCCAUAAUAUCAUUUGAGGGCAUCUGAAGAUGAUUAAACUACAAGGGGUUGUGGAUGAGCAUGCGUCUGAUUAGUUAGUUGGCGAGGUAACGGCCCACCAAGACAAUGAUCAGUAGGGGAACUGAGAGGUU
Molecule: ribosomal RNA, 276 nt
Filed under: uncultured bacterium
Lineage: Bacteria
Description: partial 16S ribosomal RNA
Rfam family: Bacterial small subunit ribosomal RNA
Source: RNAcentral